UACGGAGGAUCCGAGCGUUAUCCGGAUUUAUUGGGUUUAAAGGGUGCGCAGGCGGGAGAUUAAGUCGGCGGUGAAAUUUUGCAGCUCAACUGUAAAAGUGCCUUCGAUACUGGUUUCCUUGAGUGUGGAUGAAGUAGGCGGAAUUUGUGGUGUAGCGGUGAAAUGCUUAGAUAUCACGAGGAACUCCGAUUGCGCAGGCAGCUUACUAAACCACUACUGACGCUCAGGCAUGAAGGCGUGGGGAGUCAAACAGGAUUAGAUACCCCCGUA
RNAcentral lists this ribosomal RNA (270 nucleotides) under uncultured prokaryote. RNAcentral describes it as "partial 16S ribosomal RNA". It matches the Rfam family "Bacterial small subunit ribosomal RNA", at positions 524 to 792 of the family's 1533-position model. The record is from RNAcentral.